Molecule: long non-coding RNA, 294 nt
Filed under: Mytilus galloprovincialis (Mediterranean mussel)
Lineage: Eukaryota; Metazoa; Mollusca; Bivalvia; Mytilida; Mytilidae
Source: RNAcentral
GCAUGGAACAAAUAAGACAAUAAAAAAAUAUAUAUAUCGACACCUUUAUUUGAUUGUAAAACAGAAUCGCAUUUUCUUUCUGGUUGUGGAUAAUGAAAUAAAUCCCAGACCUGUUAUGGUUAACAUAUUGCGGCUACUUGUUUUGUCUUACAAUAUUGAACUAUUGUUAACUAAUCAAAAUAGACUUGGUCGGUCGUGCUUACAUAACAAAUCAUUAAAGUAUGCCAUUCCUGUGUGUAUCUUAUUCGAGAUAUUUUCAUGUCAAUAUUUCUAAUCGUUGUAAUAAAAGAGUUU